Long non-coding RNA from Pleuronectes platessa (European plaice), 572 nucleotides. RefSeq lists it as uncharacterized. Lineage: Eukaryota; Metazoa; Chordata; Actinopteri; Pleuronectiformes; Pleuronectidae. The record is from RefSeq and is a predicted model, not a curated record. The transcript is spliced from 3 exons.
UGAUAAAAGCUUUAGGAUGUGAAGUCGUGCAGGAAGAACCAAUCUGUCCAGCUCCAGCUCUCAGGCGUUCUGUGGGUAUUUCUGCUCUGACGGACAAGUGACAGCUUCUCAUCGCAGACCUCAGUGUGACACAACGACUCCGAGCUCCACAGACGCACAACAGUCUAAUACUAGGUAGUCAAGAUGUCAACGGCGGUCACCGAACAGCCCCAGCCUCAGAUGGCUUCCCAGCCGCGGCCUCGGAGGGGUUCCCACCAGUCGGACGAGUCUAAAUUGGGAUGUGACUGCGCCAGUUGCUGCGCAAAAUGCUGCAAGGGUUUCUGCUGUUUUCUGUGCAAAGUAAUUCCACAAAUUUUAAGUGAAGAACCUGAAGGUUAAGAACCUGAAGAUGAAGAACCUUAAGAUGAAAAACCUGAAGAUGAAGAACCUGAAGAUGAAGAACCUGAAGAUGAGUAGUAGGAUUUGGGGUUAGGGUACGAGUGUGGACGAUUCCAUCGACAAGUAAUCACCAACUAACAUAUUUAUUAAAGCCCUUUGCUUCUUCCUGUUAUUAUAAUGAUGUUCAUCAGUCA